This 506-nucleotide ribosomal RNA is filed under the name uncultured bacterium. RNAcentral's name for it is "partial 16S ribosomal RNA". It matches the Rfam family "Bacterial small subunit ribosomal RNA", at positions 29 to 523 of the family's 1533-position model. The record is from RNAcentral.
AGUGAACGCUGGCGGUAGGCCUAACACAUGCAAGUCGAACGGCAGCACAGGAGAGCUUGCUCUCUGGGUGGCGAGUGGCGGACGGGUGAGGAAUACAUCGGAAUUUACUCUGUCGUGGGGGAUAACGUAGGGAAACUUAGGCUAAUACCGCAUACGACCUACGGGUGAAAGCAGGGGACCUUCGGGCCUUGCGCGAUUGAAUGAGCCGAUGUCGGAUUAGCUAGUUGGCGGGGUAAAGGCCCACCAAGGCGACGAUCCGUAGCUGGUCUGAGAGGAUGAUCAGCCACACUGGAACUGAGACACGGUCCAGACUCCUACGGGAGGCAGCAGUGGGGAAUAUUGGACAAUGGGCGCAAGCCUGAUCCAGCCAUACCGCGUGGGUGAAGAAGGCCUUCGGGUUGUAAAGCCCUUUUGUUGGGAAAGAAAUCCAGCUGGCUAAUACCCGGUUGGGAUGACGGUACCCAAAGAAUAAGCACCGGCUAACUUCGUGCCAGCAGCCGCCGUAA